GAUCCUGGCUCAGGAUGAACGCUGGCGGCGUGCCUAAUACAUGCAAGUAGAACGCUGAAGGAAGGAGCUUGCUCUUUCCGGAUGAGUUGCGAACGGGUGAGUAACGCGUAGGUAACCUGCCUGGUAGCGGGGGAUAACUAUUGGAAACGAUAGCUAAUACCGCAUAACAGUAGAUGUUGCAUGACAUUUACUUGAAAGGUGCAAAUGCACCACUACCAGAUGGACCUGCGUUG
This 233-nucleotide ribosomal RNA is filed under the name uncultured bacterium. Its description in RNAcentral is "partial 16S ribosomal RNA". It matches the Rfam family "Bacterial small subunit ribosomal RNA", at positions 15 to 238 of the family's 1533-position model. The record is from RNAcentral.